This 482-nucleotide ribosomal RNA is filed under the name uncultured bacterium. RNAcentral's name for it is "partial 16S ribosomal RNA". It matches the Rfam family "Bacterial small subunit ribosomal RNA", at positions 30 to 507 of the family's 1533-position model. The record is from RNAcentral.
AUUGAACGCUGGCGGCAUGCUUUACACAUGCAAGUCGAACGGUAACAGGCCGCAAGGUGCUGACGAGUGGCGAACGGGUGAGUAAUGCAUCGGAACGUGCCCCGUCGUGGGGGAUAACUACUCGAAAGAGUAGCUAAUACCGCAUACGAUCUAUGGUUGAAAGCGGGGGACCGUAAUGCUUAGCGCGGUUGUAGCGGCCGAUGUCAGAUUAGGUAGUUGGUGGGGUAAAGGCUCACCAAGCCAACGAUCUGUAGCUGGUCUGAGAGGACGACCAGCCACACUGGGACUGAGACACGGCCCAGACUCCUACGGGAGGCAGCAGUGGGGAAUUUUGGACAAUGGGCGCAAGCCUGAUCCAGCAAUGCCGCGUGCAGGAAGAAGGCCUUCGGGUUGUAAACUGCUUUUGUACGGAACGAAACGGCUCUGGUUAAUACCCGGGGCUAAUGACGGUACCGUAAGAAUAAGCACCGGCUAACUACGUG